CACGUAGGCGGACUGGAAAGUUGGGGGUGAAAUCCCAGGGCUCAACCCUGGAACUGCCUUCAAAACUAUCAGUCUGGAGUUCGAGAGAGGUGAGUGGAAUUCCGAGUGUAGAGGUGAAAUUCGUAGAUAUUCGGAGGAACACCAGUGGCGAAGGCGGCUCACUGGCUCGAUACUGACGCUGAGGUGCGAAAGCGUGGGGAGCAAACA
RNAcentral lists this ribosomal RNA (207 nucleotides) under uncultured Paracoccaceae bacterium. RNAcentral's name for it is "uncultured Rhodobacteraceae bacterium partial 16S ribosomal RNA". It matches the Rfam family "Bacterial small subunit ribosomal RNA", at positions 568 to 774 of the family's 1533-position model. Lineage: Bacteria; Pseudomonadati; Pseudomonadota; Alphaproteobacteria; Rhodobacterales; Paracoccaceae. The record is from RNAcentral.